GACGAACGCUGGCGGCGUGCCUAAUACAUGCAAGUCGAGCGAGCGGAACUAACAGAUUUACUUCGGUAAUGACGUUAGGAAAGCGAGCGGCGGAUGGGUGAGUAACACGUGGGGAACCUGCCCCAUAGUCUGGGAUACCACUUGGAAACAGGUGCUAAUACCGGAUAAGAAAGCAGAUCGCAUGAUCAGCUUUUAAAAGGCGGCGUAAGCUGUCGCUAUGGGAUGGCCCCGCGGUGCAUUAGCUAGUUGGUAAGGUAAAGGCUUACCAAGGCGAUGAUGCAUACCUGAGUGGAGAGACUGAGGGGCCACUUGGGGACUGAGACACGGCCAAAACCCCUGGGGGGGGCAGCAGUGGGAAAUCUCCCACAAUGGACGAAAGUUUGAGGGAGCAGCGCGGGGUGAGAGAGGAAGGUUUUGGGAUCGAAAGGUUGUUUUUUUGGUAAAAAAGGAAAGGGGUAGAAACGGGCUUUUUUUUGACGUAAAUAAAACAGAAAGUCCCGGCUAACUACGUG
RNAcentral lists this ribosomal RNA (512 nucleotides) under uncultured bacterium. Its description in RNAcentral is "partial 16S ribosomal RNA". It matches the Rfam family "Bacterial small subunit ribosomal RNA", at positions 28 to 507 of the family's 1533-position model. The record is from RNAcentral.